AGAAUCAACGCUGGCGGCGUGCCUAACACAUGCAAGUCGAGCGCGAAAGGGGAGCAAUCUCCGAGUAGAGCGGCGAACGGGUGAGUAACGCGUGGGUAAUCUACCUCCGAGUGGGAAUAACAGCGGGAAACUGCUGCUAAUACCGCAUGACAUCGUCGAGCCCUCGGGCCUGACGAUCAAAGCCGGGACCGCAAGGCCUGGCGCUUGGAGAGGAGCCCGCGUCCGAUUAGCUAGUUGGCGGGUAAUGGCCCACCAAGGCUCCGAUCGGUAGCCGGCCUGAGAGGGCGGACGGCCGACGACGUGGACUGGAGACGACGGCCCGAGACUCCGUACGGGAGGCGAGCGAGGUGGGUAAUUUUCGACAAGU
This 367-nucleotide ribosomal RNA is filed under the name uncultured soil bacterium. RNAcentral describes it as "bacterial SSU rRNA". It matches the Rfam family "Bacterial small subunit ribosomal RNA", at positions 26 to 373 of the family's 1533-position model. The record is from RNAcentral.